RNAcentral lists this ribosomal RNA (187 nucleotides) under uncultured fungus. Its description in RNAcentral is "partial small subunit ribosomal RNA". It matches the Rfam family "Eukaryotic small subunit ribosomal RNA", at positions 635 to 827 of the family's 1831-position model. Lineage: Eukaryota; Fungi. The record is from RNAcentral.
UGAAUUUCGGGGUUAGUAGGUUGGUCAUGCCUCUGGUAUGUACUGGUCUCACUGAUUCCUCCUUCCUUAUGAACCGUAAUGCCAUUAAUUUGGUGUUGCGGGGAAUUUGGACUGUUACUUUGAAAAAAUUAGAGUGUUUAAAGCAAGCUAACGCUUGAAUACAUUNGCAUGGAAUAAUGAAAUAGGA